GGGUUACUUUCAAGCUGGUUUUUGAUCCUGAAGAAAUUGGGUCUGCUACUAGCAGCCUGGGUGAUCAGCUGGGCCAGGUGAGUGAGAGAGAGACCACCGGGGUGUGCAGGGCCAGGACCAGGACAGGAAUGCAGGCAAGCAGGGGACCAGAUCAGACAACUGAGGUCCGCAGUGGUGAAGUGUCUUGCCCCAAGUCACAGAGUAGUACCUGGAGAAACAGAAGUAUUACCUAUGCCCUCUGAUUCCAAAUUUAUUGCUCUAUUUUUCAUAACAUGCAAUUAUGUUAGACUAGAAUUAACUAGUCGAUCAUGGUAAAGUAGUUGGGAUUUGAAUAUGUAAGUAAAUUUAUUUACUUUCUCCUUCCUGUGUCUCGUGGAUUGACUUCUCAUAGAAGACAGUUUCUGUUAAGGAAGAAAUUCAGCCCUCUAAUGUCAAGCUCACAUUGACUUUCCUAUGUCUCAGGAGAACAUUUCUAACUGUCAGAAUGUGAACAACUAAUAACCCCAAAGAUUCUUUUUUGACAGCCCCUGGAGCUUAAAAAAAUCAUGUCAGAGACACAUUUCUGGCAUGUCAAGAAGCCACUAUCAUGAUGUAACUCAUUCUAUCCAACGUCAGCAUUUCCAGGGCAAGGUAUAGCAACUAUUACUGCAAUACCGUGGGGCCAUUUGAACAUUUCCAUAUUUGUGUGUAAAGGCAAGUUACAGGAGAUAAGAGAGUUGGGUUUAGAAGCAGAAACACAAAGACUCAAAUUGUGCUUUUGUUACUUAGAAUUCUGUUACCCAGGGCAAGUGACUGAACCCCUGUCUCUUAGUUAUAGUUGCUAAGACUACUAAGCUAGUGAUGCCAAG
This 848-nucleotide long non-coding RNA is filed under the name Monodelphis domestica (gray short-tailed opossum). RNAcentral describes it as "lncRNA (ENSMODG00000051412.1)". Lineage: Eukaryota; Metazoa; Chordata; Mammalia; Didelphimorphia; Didelphidae. The record is from RNAcentral.